UACGGAGGGUGCGAGCGUUGUCCGGAUUUAUUGGGUUUAAAGGGUGCGUAGGUGGCCUAUUAAGUCAGUGGUGAAAUACAGCCGCUUAACGGUUGAGGUGCCAUUGAUACUGAUGGGCUUGAAAUAAUUGGAGGCUGCCGGAAUGGAUGGUGUAGCGGUGAAAUGCAUAGAUAUCAUCCAGAACACCGAUUGCGAAGGCAGGUGGCUACGAUUGGUUUGACACUGAGGCACGAAAGCAUGGGGAGUAAACAGG
This 253-nucleotide ribosomal RNA is filed under the name uncultured bacterium. RNAcentral describes it as "partial 16S ribosomal RNA". It matches the Rfam family "Bacterial small subunit ribosomal RNA", at positions 524 to 776 of the family's 1533-position model. The record is from RNAcentral.